This 230-nucleotide ribosomal RNA is filed under the name uncultured Anoxybacillus sp. RNAcentral describes it as "partial 16S ribosomal RNA". It matches the Rfam family "Bacterial small subunit ribosomal RNA", at positions 1152 to 1382 of the family's 1533-position model. The record is from RNAcentral. Lineage: Bacteria; Bacillati; Bacillota; Bacilli; Caryophanales; Anoxybacillaceae.
CCGGCUAAAAGUCGGAGGAAGUGGGGAUGACGUCAAAUCAUCAUGCCCCUUAUGACCUGGGCUACACACCGUGCUACAAUGGGCGGUACAAAGGGUCGCGAACCCGCAGGGGGAGCCAAUCCCAAAAAGCCGCUCUCAGUUCGGAUUGCAGGCUGCAACUCGCCUGCAUGAAGCCGGAAUCGCUAGUAAUCGCGGAUCAGCAUGCCGCGGUGAAUACGUUCCCGGGCCUU